This 253-nucleotide ribosomal RNA is filed under the name uncultured bacterium. RNAcentral describes it as "partial 16S ribosomal RNA". It matches the Rfam family "Bacterial small subunit ribosomal RNA", at positions 524 to 776 of the family's 1533-position model. The record is from RNAcentral.
UACGAAGGGAGCUAGCGUUGUUCGGAAUCACUGGGCGUAAAGCGCGCGUAGGUGGCUUUGCAAGUCAGAGGUGAAAUCCCAGGGCUUAACCCUGGAAUUGCCUUUGAUACUGCUAAGCUUGAGUACUGGAGGGGAUGGUGGAAUUUCUAAUGUAGCGGUGAAAUGCGUAGAUAUUAGAAGGAACACCGGUGGCGAAGGCGACCAUCUGGACAGUCACUGACACUGAGGCGCGAAAGCGUGGGGAGCAAACAGG